ACGGAGGGAGCUAGCGUUGUUCGGAAUUACUGGGCGUAAAGCGCGCGUAGGCGGCUUUGUAAGUUAGAGGUGAAAGCCCGGGGCUCAACCCCGGAACUGCCUUUAAGACUGCAUCGCUUGAAUCCGGGAGAGGUGAGUGGAAUUCCGAGUGUAGAGGUGAAAUUCGUAGAUAUUCGGAAGAACACCAGUGGCGAAGGCGACUCGCUGGACAAGUAUUGACGCUGAGGUGCGAAAGCGUGGGGAGCAAACAGGA
Molecule: ribosomal RNA, 253 nt
Filed under: uncultured prokaryote
Description: partial 16S ribosomal RNA
Rfam family: Bacterial small subunit ribosomal RNA
Source: RNAcentral